GACGAACGCUGGCGGCGUGCCUAAUACAUGCAAGUCGAGCGCAGGAAGCCGUCUGAACCCUUCGGGGGGACGACGGUGGAAUGAGCGGCGGACGGGUGAGUAACACGUAAAGAACCUGCCCAUAGGUCUGGGAUAACCACGAGAAAUCGGGGCUAAUACCGGAUGUGUCAUCGGACCGCAUGGUCCGCUGAUGAAAGGCGCUCCGGCGUCGCCCAUGGAUGGCUUUGCGGUGCAUUAGCUAGUUGGUGGGGUAACGGCCCACCAAGGCGACGAUGAAUAGCCGACCUGGGAGGGUGAUCGGCCACACUGGGACUGAGACACGGCCCAGACUCCUACGGGAGGCAGCAGUAGGGAAUCUUCCACAAUGGACGAAAGUCUGAUGGAGCAACGCCGCGUGAACGAUGAAGGCUUUCGGGUCGUAAAGUUCUGUUGUAAGGGAAGAACAAGUGCCGCAGGCAAUGGCGGCACCUUGACGGUACCUUGCGAGAAAGCCACGGCUAACUACGUGCCAGCAGCCGCCGUAA
Molecule: ribosomal RNA, 524 nt
Filed under: uncultured bacterium
Lineage: Bacteria
Description: partial 16S ribosomal RNA
Rfam family: Bacterial small subunit ribosomal RNA
Source: RNAcentral